UACGGCGGUCACAGCGGAAGGGUCAUACCCGUUCUCAUUCCGAACACGGAAGUUAAGCCUUCCAGCGAUUCGGGUUGUACUGCCAUAGGUGGGAACCCCGGGACGCUGCCGGCC
This is a non-coding RNA of Thermoplasmatales archaeon, 114 nucleotides long. The record is from Rfam. NCBI's taxonomy places the organism in Archaea, Methanobacteriati, Thermoplasmatota, Thermoplasmata, Thermoplasmatales.